Molecule: ribosomal RNA, 476 nt
Filed under: uncultured bacterium
Lineage: Bacteria
Description: partial 16S ribosomal RNA
Rfam family: Bacterial small subunit ribosomal RNA
Source: RNAcentral
GAUGAACGCUGGCGGCGUGCCUAACACAUGCAAGUCGAACGAAGCGCCUUACCGGAUUCUUCGGAUGAAGGUCUGGUGACUGAGUGGCGGACGGGUGAGUAACGCGUGGGUAACCUGCCCUGUACAGGGGAUAACAGCUGGAAACGGCUGCUAAUACCGCAUUAGCGCACGAGGAGACCUCUCCUUGUGUGAAAAACUCCGGUGGUACAGGAUGGGCCCGCGUCUGAUUAGCUGGUUGGCAGGGUAACGGCCUACCAAGGCAACGAUCAGUAGCCGGUCUGAGAGGAUGAACGGCCACAUUGGAACUGAGACACGGUCCAAACUCCUACGGGAGGCAGCAGUGGGGAAUAUUGCACAAUGGGGGAAACCCUGAUGCAGCAACGCCGCGUGAGUGAAGAAGUAUUUCGGUAUGUAAAGCUCUAUCAGCAGGGAAGAUAAUGACGGUACCUGACUAAGAAGCUCCGGCUAAAUACGUG